GGCGGCAUGGCCAAGUGGUAAGGCAGAGGACUGCAAAUCCUUUAUCCCCAGUUCAAAUCUGGGUGCCGCCUCCA
This 74-nucleotide transfer RNA is filed under the name Senegalia massiliensis. Its description in RNAcentral is "tRNA-Cys". It matches the Rfam family "tRNA". Rfam says of the family: Transfer RNA (tRNA) molecules are approximately 80 nucleotides in length. The record is from RNAcentral. Lineage: Bacteria; Bacillati; Bacillota; Clostridia; Eubacteriales; Clostridiaceae.